AGUUGGUGGAGUGAUUUGUCUGGUUAAUUCCGUUAACGAACGAGACCGCUGCCUGCUAAAUAGUUGGAUGAGUGUUUUGACACUGAUUGCAGCUUCUUAGAGGGACAUGGAUUAUCAAAAUCCAGGAAGAUAGCGGCAAUAACAGGU
Molecule: ribosomal RNA, 147 nt
Filed under: Ochrophyta sp.
Lineage: Eukaryota
Description: partial small subunit ribosomal RNA
Rfam family: Eukaryotic small subunit ribosomal RNA
Source: RNAcentral